UUAUUUGAAGGGUGUUCCAUUUCAGAACAAAACACUUGCAACAACUCGUUUCAAGUGAGAACGUUCCAAGCUUGAGUGUUCUGCACAUCCUUAUAAUAGCCCUAUUCAGAUAUCAGUCACAGAUUUCAACCAACAUCAAAGAGCUGCAACCAUUUGAUCAGCCCCAUUAUUCAUCUUGCUCCAGGGCAGCGAGGUCAAUACGUGGCGUUCUUUGCUGAGGCAAGAGAUUUCUUUAGCUUGAAGAUGAGAGAGGCAGGACGUAGAACAGUCCUAAUUCCAGGAUAGAGCAUAUGGAAUCUAGCACUAUAUCAAGAAUUGUGGAUUCUUCACACUUCGGGUGUUGCCAAAAAGAUUAUAAUACAAUACUGGAAGGACAAAUUCACUCCUGAAUUGCAACUUUGGAUUCCUGAUAAGUGCUCCCUGUCAGCAUUUGAACUGUUCUUUUUUCGUCGGCAAGAUUACGAUGCAAAAUAUGACAUGUGCUUCUCACAAAGAGAGGUGUGUUUUCCAUACUUGUGCACCUCCUAUUUUUCUACACAUGUGGACGGACCUGAAGGCUCUGUGUCUCUAGUGACUCCCAACUGGGGUUAUCGACCCAAGAACAAAGAGUGGUUUCUUCCAUCUUGUGAAAAGCACCUCUGAGAAGUAAGAAAGCAAAACAAAUGAAAAGGAAAUAUGAAAACUGUUUAGGCUGGACAAUCAACCUUAUACAAGCAUGUAAUAGGAACCAGAAUGGUGUUUCAAACAGAGAAGAGGAAAGAAAAAGAAAGUCACCUUGCCACAGGAGAGAGAUUGAACAAAGAGGAGGUGAUAGCUUGGAGAAUGAUAGAGUCAUCUAAUAUAUUCUAGCAGUAAAAGGGAUCUUAGUUCAAAGAAUAAAAGGGCUGUGCCAGUGUUCUUCAUUGUAAGACCCGAGUUCAGUGGUG
This is a long non-coding RNA of Hemicordylus capensis (graceful crag lizard), 926 nucleotides long. RefSeq lists it as uncharacterized. Lineage: Eukaryota; Metazoa; Chordata; Lepidosauria; Squamata; Cordylidae. The transcript has 4 exons. The record is from RefSeq and is a predicted model, not a curated record.